Molecule: long non-coding RNA, 732 nt
Filed under: Rattus norvegicus (Norway rat)
Lineage: Eukaryota; Metazoa; Chordata; Mammalia; Rodentia; Muridae
Description: long non-coding RNA NONRATT004363
Source: RNAcentral
CCACAGGCUUCAAGAGUCACCCAAGCUGAGCCAGGCUAAUGGAACCAGAAACAUCAUUCUGGCCCCAGAGAGCUGUGAAGGAAGCCCAAGAAGCCCUAGCUCUGCCCACAGCAAGCUCGCUGGUGAGAGGGCACGGGGCUGGGGCAGACACUGGCUUGAGGGUACCUGCGGGAGAGGGGUGAAGACAUAAGUAAGCUCAGGUCCACUGAGCCGGGGCUGGAAGCUGCCAGAAGAGGCGAGGGUGCUUGUGUGUGCGCCUGCGUGUCCUGUUGUGGUCUAUCUAUCGUUAGUACCUGGUCUCUAGAUGCACGGGAGAUGAUACUGAGGAGCACUUCUUCCAAUAGAUACCACAGAACCACUGGAGGCCACACUCUCGCCUGUGUCCAUUGACUCAGCUGCUAGUGGGGAUACCAUGCUGGACACGACAGGGGAUGUCACUGCGGAAUAUGUGAAGGAUUUCCUUGGGUGAGGCCAGCUGCCCUCUCCUAAGCCUCCAUUCCCAGGGCAACUUGAGGUCUUUUUACUCCAGCCCUUCUGAUUACUGCCCCUCCCCAGCUCUCCCGAGGACUCUGAGAAGAACCUGCGGAACCUGGGAGCAGAUGAUGCUGGUCGGGCCUACACCCUUCUGAUUGAAUGAGGUGCUGUGGGGCAGCUUGGCCUUAUCACACAGCGGCUGCCAUCCCUCCAGCUGGAACCCUGGCAGGCUUCUAUUAUGGCAUCACUCCUGGAAGC